CAGUAGCCGCGGUAAUACAGAGGGUACGAGCGUUAAUCGGAUUUACUGGGCGUAAAGCGUGCGUAGGCGGCUUCUUAAGUCGGAUGUGAAAUCCCUGAGCUUAACUUAGGAAUUGCAUUCGAUACUGGGAAGCUAGAGUAUGGGAGAGGAUGGUAGAAUUCCAGGUGUAGCGGUGAAAUGCGUAGAGAUCUGGAGGAAUACCGAUGGCGAAGGCAGCCAUCUGGCCUAAUACUGACGCUGAGGUACGAAAGCAUGGGGAGCAAACAGGAUUAGAUACCCCAGUAGUCCCUGUCUCUUAUAC
RNAcentral lists this ribosomal RNA (301 nucleotides) under uncultured bacterium. RNAcentral describes it as "partial 16S ribosomal RNA". It matches the Rfam family "Bacterial small subunit ribosomal RNA", at positions 509 to 807 of the family's 1533-position model. The record is from RNAcentral.